ACAAAUACAUCGAAGAAGGAAAGUAAUAUUUAAUGAAGAUUCAGAGAGAAUAUCCAUUAGCUGAAAGGAUAUUUAUUGGAAUUAUAUAUGAAGUGCCCUUUGGAGUACGAUACCGAAUUAAGUAGGCUAUCGCGGUUUUAACCGUUAUAUUAAUAGAGUAUGAUAGUACUUGAAGAGUGGGGUUAUUUUUUUACCAAAUAGAGUGGAACCGCGGAUAUUAUCCGUCUCUAAG
Molecule: non-coding RNA, 232 nt
Filed under: Clostridium sulfidigenes
Lineage: Bacteria; Bacillati; Bacillota; Clostridia; Eubacteriales; Clostridiaceae
Description: T-box sequence
Rfam family: T-box leader
About the family: Uncharged tRNA acts as the effector for transcription antitermination of genes in the T-box leader family. T-boxes are found upstream of many aminoacyl-tRNA synthetase genes and some amino acid biosynthetic genes usually in Gram-positive bacteria. The anticodon of a specific tRNA base pairs to a specifier sequence within the T-box motif, and the NCCA acceptor tail of the tRNA base pairs to a conserved bulge in the T-box antiterminator hairpin.
Source: RNAcentral